RNAcentral lists this ribosomal RNA (226 nucleotides) under uncultured actinomycete. RNAcentral describes it as "partial 16S ribosomal RNA". It matches the Rfam family "Bacterial small subunit ribosomal RNA", at positions 383 to 608 of the family's 1533-position model. Lineage: Bacteria; Bacillati; Actinomycetota; Actinomycetes; Actinomycetales. The record is from RNAcentral.
CUGAGCGCGAGCCGCGUGGGGGAUGACGGCCUUCGGGUUGUAAACUCCUUUCGUUAGGGACGAAGCCUCUCCUGUUUUUGGGUGUGGUGUCGGUACCUUUGUUAAGAAGCGCCCGGUAAUAUCUUGCCAGCAGCCGCGGUAAUACGUAGGGUGCGAGCGUUGUCCGGAAUUACUGGGCGUAAAGAGCUCGUAGGUGGUUUGUUGCGUCGUCUGUGAAUUCCGGGGC